This 1591-nucleotide unclassified non-coding RNA is filed under the name Hevea brasiliensis (rubber tree). The record is from RNAcentral. Lineage: Eukaryota; Viridiplantae; Streptophyta; Magnoliopsida; Malpighiales; Euphorbiaceae.
CAUGUCAGGCUGCUCAAAACUUGAGGAAUUGCCAAAGUCCAUUGGCUCUUUAACUCGCCUUAUAUUCUUGAAUUUGGAAAAUUGUGAGAACUUUAAGAAUCUUCCAGAAAGCAUUGGUGGUGUAAAAGCACUGGAGGAGCUGAACAUGUCGGGCUGCAUUAAAUUUGAGGAAUUUCCAGAAUCUAUUGGACUUCUAACUCACCUUAUUUACUUGAAUCUACAAGGUUGCAAGAAUCUUAAGGAGCUUCCAAGAAGUAUUGGUGAUCUAAAUAAGCUAAACAUUUCAGGCUGCUUAAAACUCAAGGAGUUGCCAUCGUCCGCUGAACUUCUCAAUUGACAUCUCUAGCAUCUGCAAGGUUGCAAGAACCUGAGUAAUCUUCCCGGAAGUUUUUGUUCUCUAAGAUCACUGGACGAGCUCAACACGUCAAGAUGAAUUGAAGUAUGAAAUCUAUGGCUUUACUUAAUGUCGAUGAAACCGCAAUAUGUAGACUACCAGAGACCAAUGGAAAUCUGAGAAGACUGGAGAGUUUGUCCUUGUGGGGAUGCCAUCUUAAAAUUGCACUUAUAAAACAUCUGCAUUUUUCAUCUUUCUGCUGUAUUCUUUAAGAUAAUUGGAUCUUUGUUGUUGCAACAUAUUAGAUAAUGUUAUUCAUCAUGAUCUCAGAGGUUGCCCCUUUUGGAAGAGGUACAAUAAUGUAGAGACAACGAUAAAGGUUUAUCUGUUAGCAUUUGUAGACUUCCCGAACUUGAUACCCUCUCAUUCAGUGAUUGCAGAUGCCUUCAGUUUAUACCACAGCUUUAGUCAAUUUUACAAUCCUUGCAUUGCAAUGAUUGUCCAUCAGUGGAAAGUGUUAUCCUAACUUCCUUGCAGAAUUAGAUUUGCAGAUUAAUGGGUGUCCAAGUUUAAAGGAAAUUGUGGGUUUCUUCAAAUUGGAGCCAUUAGGAGUUGAAGUUCUGGGAAAAACUUCUCAGGAGUUGACUCUUUCACACAAGAAACAAUAACAAAAGUUCAUAUGCAUAAGAUUUGCAAUCUGACAAACUUGUGGGACAUGUCCCUCCAGGCUCUUUCUCUGAGUGCUGUUUAUAGCAUUUUUCUGUGGAAGUGAGAUUUCAGUGUGGUUCAGCAACCAAAGUGAAGGUGACAUCAUAUCUUCACAUGCCUCCACUUGAUCAAGAUUCUAAGAUUAUUUGCCACAUCCGCAAUUUAUGCAUGGGGGAGAUCUUCUGAAUCUUGCUGGUUUUUUACUGACAUCAAGUUUAUAACUGAAACAAAAUGUUUGACUGACAUAUGCUCCAUAUGUCUCCGUCCUAUCAAUUGACAUCCAGCAAGAUAUCAUGUGGCUGUGCAACUGGAUUUUCAAUAAUCAUAUAGAAGGCAUUGAUGAAUUGGACAUGAGUUGGAGAUUUAAGAACGAGAUUGAGAAAGGUCAUGAAAUAGAAUUUUCAGUUAUCGUGGGCUAUCAAAUUGUAGUAAAAAUAUGCACCGUGCGGCGUCCACCUACUCUAUCACCCUAAUGGUUGGGGCUCACCAUCAAAUUUUCUAGCUAUUAUUUAUCAUGCCUUGGACUGACACCAUGAACGGUCAUUCUCU